UACGUAGGGGGCAAGCGUUGUCCGGAAUUAUUGGGCGUAAAGCGCGCGCAGGCGGUCAUUUAAGUCUGGUGUUUAAUCCUGGGGCUCAACCCCAGUUCGCAUCGGAAACUGGAUGACUUGAGUGUAGGAGAGGAAAGUGGAAUUCCACGUGUAGCGGUGAAAUGCGUAGAGAUGUGGAGGAACACCAGUGGCGAAGGCGACUUUCUGGUCCUAUAACUGACGCUGAGG
This 228-nucleotide ribosomal RNA is filed under the name uncultured bacterium. RNAcentral's name for it is "partial 16S ribosomal RNA". It matches the Rfam family "Bacterial small subunit ribosomal RNA", at positions 524 to 751 of the family's 1533-position model. The record is from RNAcentral.